This 492-nucleotide ribosomal RNA is filed under the name uncultured bacterium. RNAcentral describes it as "partial 16S ribosomal RNA". It matches the Rfam family "Bacterial small subunit ribosomal RNA", at positions 29 to 507 of the family's 1533-position model. The record is from RNAcentral.
AGUGAACGCUGGCGGUAGGCCUAACACAUGCAAGUCGAACGGCAGCACAGUAAGAGCUUGCUCUUACGGGUGGCGAGUGGCGGACGGGUGAGGAAUACAUCGGAAUCUACUUUUUCGUGGGGGAUAACGUAGGGAAACUUACGCUAAUACCGCAUACGACCUACGGGUAAAAGCAGGGGAUCUUCGGACCUUGCGCGAUUGAAUGAGCCGAUGUCGGAUUAGCUAGUUGGCGGGGUAAAGGCCCACCAAGGCGACGAUCCGUAGCUGGUCUGAGAGGAUGAUCAGCCACACUGGAACUGAGACACGGUCCAGACUCCUACGGGAGGCAGCAGUGGGGAAUAUUGGACAAUGGGCGCAAGCCUGAUCCAGCCAUACCGCGUGGGUGAAGAAGGCCUUCGGGUUGUAAAGCCCUUUUGUUGGGAAAGAAAAGCAGCAGGUUAAUACCCCGCUGUUCUGACGGUACCCAAAGAAUAAGCACCGGCUAACUUCGCG